UAAUACGAAGGUGGCAAGCGUUGUUCGGAAUCACUGGGCUUAAAGCGUACGCGGGCGGAUUAUCAAGUGUCCUUUGAAAUCCCACGGCUCAACCGUGGAAUUGGGGGGCAAACUGGUAAUCUUGAGGCAGUUAGGGGUGGGUGGAACUCUUGGUGGAGCGGUGGAAUGCGUAGAUAUCAAGAGGAACGCCAGAGGUGAAAACGACCCACUGGGACUGUCCUGACGCUGAGGUACGAAAGCGUGGGUAGCGAACGGG
Molecule: ribosomal RNA, 256 nt
Filed under: uncultured bacterium
Lineage: Bacteria
Description: partial 16S ribosomal RNA
Rfam family: Bacterial small subunit ribosomal RNA
Source: RNAcentral